This 253-nucleotide ribosomal RNA is filed under the name uncultured bacterium. RNAcentral's name for it is "partial 16S ribosomal RNA". It matches the Rfam family "Bacterial small subunit ribosomal RNA", at positions 524 to 776 of the family's 1533-position model. The record is from RNAcentral.
AACGUAGGGUGCAAGCGUUAUCCGGAUUCACUGGGUGUAAAGCGCGUGCAGGUGGCCUCGUAAGUUGGACGUGAAAUCUUCUGGCUUAACUGGGAGAGGCCGUUCAAUACUGCGGGGCUAGAGGGCAGGAGAGGGAGGUGGAAUUCCCGGUGUAGUGGUGAAAUGCGUAGAUAUCGGGAGGAACACCAGUGGCGAAGGCGGCCUCCUGGCCUGCUCCUGACGCUCAGACGCGAAAGCUAGGGGAGCGAACGGG